CACACACACACACACACACACACACACACACACACACACACACACACACACAGCCUCAUAGGUUCAUACACACACACAGCCUCAUAGGUUCAUACACACACACAGCCUCAUAGGUUCACACAGUGUAAGUAAGCUACUCCCCGAGCCCAGAUAGGAUUUAGUUAUUAAAAAUGAGUAGUACUACUGUUGAGUAAAAGUUAGACAGUGUUAAUGUGACUACUGACUAAGGCUUCUCAUACUGAACUUGAAGGAUCCCUCACACAGAGGACAAAACAGAAAAGAUGUCCGAUAAAACUGCAGUUCCUCACAAUAAAAUGACAGCUCUUAAGAUUGUUAAAAUAGAAUGAAGACCAGCUCUAUAUAUGACAUUAAAACAAAAUGUUUUGAGCUGAUUGGAACUCUGGAUCCAAUUCAUUAAGACAGGCCUUUGAAGGCGUUAGAAAAGUCCCCUUUAUCAAUAUGUUCUCUGGGCUGGCUCAGUCCAGUCCAACCUGCAUUGAGUAAUAUGUGGAUUCAAGCUUCAGGUAGAUAGCUGUGAGGAAAGGCUCUCUUUUCUUUCUCUGACUCCCCAGUAAACAUGAACCCAUUGGCCCCAUGUGGGUAUUCGGUGGGCAAGGUGGGCUAGCCCACACCAACCCCACACCAACCCAACACAGGCUAGCCCACACCAACCCCACACCAACCCAACACAGGCUAGCCCACACCAACCCCACACCAACCCAACACAGGCUAGCCCACACCAACCCCACACCAACCCAACACAGGCUAGCCCACACCAACCCCACACAGGCUAGCCCACACCAACCCCACACCAAUCCAACACAGGCUAGCCCACACCACACCAACCCCACACCAACCCAACACAGGCUAGCCCACACCAACCCCACACAGGCUAGCACACACCAACCCCAAACCAAUCCAACACAGGCUAGCCCACACCAACCCCACACCAACCCAACACAGGCUAGCCCACACCAACCCCACACCAACCCCACACCAACCCCACACAGGCUAGCACACACCAACCCCAAACCAAUCCAACACAGGCUAGCCCACACCAACCCCACACCAACCCAACACAGGCUAGCCCACACCAACCCCACACAGGCUAGCCCACACCAACCCCAAACCAAUCCAACACAGGCUAGCCCACACCAACCCAACACAGGGUAGUCUACAUCAACACAACACAGGCCAGCCCACACCAACCCAACACAGGCUAGCCCACACCAACCCCACACCAACCCAACACAGGCUAGCCCACACCAACCCAACACAGGCUAGCCCACACCAACCCAACACAGGCUAGCCCACACCAACACAACACUGGCCAGGCCACACCAACACAGGCUUGCCCACACCAACCCAACACAGGCUAGCCCACACCAAUCCCACACCAACCCAACACAGGCUAGCCCACACCAACCCAACACAGGCUAGCCCACACCAAUCCCACACCAACCCAACACAGGCUAGCCCACACCAACCCAACACAGGCUAGCCCACACCAACACAACACUGGCCAGGCCACACCAACACAGGCCAGCCCACACCAACCCAACACAGGCUAGCCCACACCAAUCCCACACCAACCCAACACAGGCUAGCACAAUCCCACACCAACCCAACACAGGCUAGCCCACACCAACCCCACACCAACCCAACACAGGCUAGCCCACACCAACCCAACACAGGCUAGCCCACACCAACCCAACACAGGCUAGCCCACACCAACACAACACUGGCCAGGCCACACCAACACAGGCUUGCCCACACCAACACAACACAGGCUUGCCCACACCAUCCCAACACAGGGUAGCCCACACCAACACAACACGGCAAGGUCACACCAACCCAACACAGGGUAGCCCACACCAACCCAACACAGGGUAGCCCACACCAACACAACACGGGCAAGGUCACACCAACACAACACGGGCAAGGUCACACCAACACAACACGGGCAAGGUCACACAAACACAACACGGGCAAGGUCACACCAACACAACACGGGCAAGGUCACACCAACACAACACGGGCAAGGUCACACCAACACAACACGGGCAAGGUCACACCAACACAACACGGGCAAGGUCACACCAAGCCCAGCUAGAGGCGGGGGCUCAUUAGAAUAUUUGGGGGCGUGGUUUACACACAGUUGUUUUUGUGCAGCCGUUACUGAGAGUGUGGUUCCUGUUGAAGUGUGGUUCCUGUUGAAGUGUGGUUCCUGUUGAAGUGUGGUUCCUGUUGAAGUGUUCUGUGUUGUGCUGCCUAUAUCCUGAUGAUCUUGUAAACGGCUAAUGAUCAAGUCUUUAGAAACACUUAUAUAAAUGUUUCUCUUGUUAAAUAUAUUCUGUAUGUAUGAUGGUAAUAACUUGGUUGUCUUUCUGAAAAAAUUGUAUCACGUUCCAUAAAUACCUGUAAGAGUAGAAAAUUAUGCAAUUUAUGCAUUGAAUUAAGUUUAAAUAAAUAAAUAUUAAAUAGCGAAGGCGCAUCAGCCCAAUGUGGGCAGCUUACAAGGGGUCAAUAUUUUAGCCUGCAUUGGGUUCAAAUCGUGACAAUUUGGACAUGUUUGCUGGGAAAAGAAGGGUGUAUUUCAGACAAAGUGACAGCUGCCUCACCAGAUCUGGGCUGCCCACACUGAGCCACACUGGGCAAAUGCCUUGGGGGCCAAUGUGGAGCCGAUGAGCAAAGGCGCAUCGGCCCAAUGUGGGCAGCCUAGAUGGGGCCAAUAUUUUAGCCCGAAUUGGGCCCACAUCGAGACAAUGUGGACAUGUUUGCUGGGGCUAAAACCUACAAUCUCUAGUUCCUUGUAAUUUUAUCGCUCUCUCCACGGUGCCGUGAGAAAACAAUAUAGUCCAAAUCUCCCAAUCUCCUUAAUGUUGUUCUAAUCUAAUGGAUCAUACACACACCUAAUGUCUCACAUUGGGCAUAUUAAGCAGAUUGCCUGCGUUAAACUACUGCUGUCAGAGCAGCAUGACAGACAUUACCAGCACUUAAG
This 3001-nucleotide long non-coding RNA is filed under the name Salmo salar (Atlantic salmon). RNAcentral describes it as "lncRNA (ENSSSAG00000085358.1, ENSSSAG00000114483.1)". The record is from RNAcentral. Lineage: Eukaryota; Metazoa; Chordata; Actinopteri; Salmoniformes; Salmonidae.